ACAGGUCUGUGAUGCCCUUAGAUGUUCUGGGCUGCACGCGCGCGACACUGAUCUAUUCAACGAGUGGCUGGGUCGAGAGACUUGGCAAAUCUUGUGAAAGUAGAUCGUGAUGGGGAUUGAUGCUUGUAAUUGUUCAUCAUGAACGAGGAAUUCCUAGUAAACGCAAGUCA
RNAcentral lists this ribosomal RNA (170 nucleotides) under Blastocystis hominis. RNAcentral's name for it is "partial 18S ribosomal RNA". It matches the Rfam family "Eukaryotic small subunit ribosomal RNA", at positions 1456 to 1630 of the family's 1831-position model. Lineage: Eukaryota; Bigyra; Opalinata; Blastocystidae. The record is from RNAcentral.